GACGAACGCUGGCGGCGUGCUUAACACAUGCAAGUCGAACGGUGAAGCGCCUUCCUUUUUGGUGGGUGUGGAUGAGUGGCGAACGGGUGAGUAACACGUGAGUAACCUGCCCCCUUCUUCUGGAUAACCGCAUGAAAGUGUGGCUAAUACGGGAUAUUCUGGGUCUGUCGCAUGAUGGGUCUGGGAAAGAUAUUGUUUCGGUGGGGGAUGGGCUCGCGGCCUAUCAGCUUGUUGGGGGGUGAUGGCCUACCAAGGCGGUGACGGGUAGCCGGCCUGAGAGGGUGGACGGUCACACUGGGACUGAGACACGGCCCAGACUCCUACGGGAGGCAGCAGUGGGGAAUAUUGCACAAUGGGCGCAAGCCUGAUGCAGCGACGCCGCGUGAGGGAUGGAGGCCUUCGGGUUGUGAACCUCUUUCGCCAGUGAAGCAGGCCUGCCUCGUUUGUGGGUGGGUUGACGGUAGCUGGAUAAGAAGCGCCGGCUAACUACGUG
RNAcentral lists this ribosomal RNA (493 nucleotides) under uncultured bacterium. RNAcentral describes it as "partial 16S ribosomal RNA". It matches the Rfam family "Bacterial small subunit ribosomal RNA", at positions 28 to 507 of the family's 1533-position model. The record is from RNAcentral.